This 397-nucleotide ribosomal RNA is filed under the name uncultured bacterium. Its description in RNAcentral is "bacterial SSU rRNA". It matches the Rfam family "Bacterial small subunit ribosomal RNA", at positions 30 to 426 of the family's 1533-position model. The record is from RNAcentral.
AUUGAACGCUGGCGGCAUGCCUUACACAUGCAAGUCGAACGGCAGCACGGGGGCAACCCUGGUGGCGAGUGGCGAACGGGUGAGUAACAUAUCGGAACAUACCCUAGAGUGGGGGAUAACGUAGCGAAAGUUACGCUAAUACCGCAUACGAUCUAAGGAUGAAAGUGGGGGAUCUUCGGACCUCAUGCUCAUGGAGUGGCCGAUAUCUGAUUAGCUAGUUGGUGAGGUAAAGGCUCACCAAGGCGACGAUCAGUAGCUGGUUUGAGAGAACGACCAGCCACACUGGAACUGAGACACGGUCCAGACUCCUACGGGAGGCAGCAGUGGGGAAUUUUGGGACAAUGGGGGCAACCCUGAUCCAGCAAUGCCGCGUGAGUGAAGAAGGCCUUCGGGUUGU